Molecule: ribosomal RNA, 464 nt
Filed under: uncultured Desulfuromonadaceae bacterium
Lineage: Bacteria; Pseudomonadati; Thermodesulfobacteriota; Desulfuromonadia; Desulfuromonadales; Desulfuromonadaceae
Description: partial 16S ribosomal RNA
Rfam family: Bacterial small subunit ribosomal RNA
Source: RNAcentral
CCUACGGGAGGCAGCAGUGGGGAAUUUUGCGCAAUGGGGGCAACCCUGACGCAGCAACGCCGCGUGAGUGAUGAAGGCCUUCGGGUCGUAAAGCUCUGUCAGAGGGGAAGAAAUGCAGGUGGUGAACAACCAUUCUGUUUGACGGUACCCUCAAAGGAAGCACCGGCUAACUCCGUGCCAGCAGCCGCGGUAAUACGGAGGGUGCGAGCGUUGUUCGGAAUUAUUGGGCGUAAAGCGCGUGUAGGCGGUUUGUUAAGUCUGAUGUGAAAGCCCCGGUCCCAACCUGGGAAGUGCAUUGGAUACUGGCAGACUUGAGUACGGGAGAGGAGAGUGGAAUUCCCAGUGUAGGAGUGAAAUCCGUAGAUAUUGGGAGGAACACCGGUGGCGAAAGCGGCCUCCUGGACGGUUACUGACGCUGAGACGCGAAAGCGUGGGGAGCAAACAGGAUUAGAUCCCCUUGUAGU